AUUGAACGCUAACGGCGUGCUUAACACAUGCAAGUCGAGCGGCAGCAUGACUGUAGCAAUACAGUUGAUGGCGAGCGGCGGACGGGUGAGUAAUGCAUAGGAAUCUGCCUUGUAGUGGGGGAUAACCCGGGGAAACUCGGGCUAAUACCGCAUAAUCUCUACGGAGCAAAGUGGGGGACCUUCGGGCCCUACGCGAAAAGAUGAGUCUAUGUUGGAUUAGCUAGUUGGUAGGGUAAAGGCCUACCAAGGCAACGAUCCAUAGCUGGUCUGAGAGGAUGAUCAGCCACACUGGGACUGAGACACGGCCCAGACUCCUACGGGAGGCAGCAGUGGGGAAUAUUGGACAAUGGGCGAAAGCCUGAUCCAGCAACGCCGUGUGUGUGAAGAAGGCCUUCGGGUUGUAAAGCACUUUUAGUGGGGAAGAAAAGUUCAUGGCUAAUAUCCAUGAAUGCUGACGUUACCCACAGAAAAAGCACUGGCUAACUCUGUGCCAGCAGCCGCCGUAA
Molecule: ribosomal RNA, 506 nt
Filed under: uncultured bacterium
Lineage: Bacteria
Description: partial 16S ribosomal RNA
Rfam family: Bacterial small subunit ribosomal RNA
Source: RNAcentral